Molecule: non-coding RNA, 767 nt
Organism: Sturnus vulgaris (Common starling)
Lineage: Eukaryota; Metazoa; Chordata; Aves; Passeriformes; Sturnidae
Source: RefSeq, a predicted model, not a curated record
GAAAUGUUAAUUUCUCCAAUUUCUGUUGAUUUUUUCGCAUGCACCCCCUGUUUCUCCCACACAUUCUAACUUGUGACAACUGCGCUUCUGUGAUGAAAGAAAGCAGGACCUGGAAAGAGGCAGGCAUGAUCUGGAGGCUUCAGAGGAUCAUCUUGGGAGAUGAUAACUCAUUUCCUACCAUCAGUCAAUAUCUGUAUCCACCUGCUUUUGGAGGAGAAUGCCAGGAUGAUGUCACCUAAAGGCUGCAGGUCUUUCCUUCAGUAGCUUUUGAGGAUGUGGUACUAUGUGAAUGAGGCUGGAUAUGAGAAGCUGGAAAAAGACAGCAGGGAGAAGAAAGCAAGUAGGGUCAGCACAGAGUUUACUUUUCACUCCUUCUUCACUGGUGAGUUAAUGGUACUGGCCACAGCAGUAUGGACUAUACCAGGUCACCUUUGGGGACCAAAAUGCAUUUGAUAGAUACAUCUUCCAUAGUUUUUGUUUUGUCUUCACAAAUUAGUGUUUAUAGAACCUAACCAGAGAUAAGAUUAGUGCACUGCUGGCGUGGGAUGCAGCCUUUAGGGUUUAGGUAAUGUUCUAUGGCUAACAAGAGCCAACAAGUUACACCUGAGUCAUUCCCCUGGGUGAAACAUGCCCUGGACUGAUGAUGACAGGAGCCAGCUGAGCAUCGUCAUGGCAGAUGACAAGUGUCGACAUGGGGACAGUCAUCUCCCAUUGUGUCUAACCAAGCAGAACUUGCAGUGGAAGAGCCACUGAGGUGACUGAUCUCA